UCUCAGGAAAUGCAUUUCAUGUCUCUCAACAACUCUCGCAUAGACCGAGAAAGGCUAUGGUCUAUAUGGAAGAAGGUGGAUGUCGUGGAACGAUUUCACCCUAUGAUUUUCACCUCUGUGCUCUAUAAGUUCCCUGCUGUAGCGUUCACUCGGUUCUGAUCAUGGCGGCAAUGAAGAACUUCUCUUCCAAUCUGGUGAUGACAGAGGUGAAGAUCUUCUAUCAGAUUAGGCAGUAGGAUUUACAUUAAUUUGAUAAUUGUUCAGGGUUACUGAUCACCGAAGACAAGAAGUUUGGUCCAUACCUUCUAAUGACACGAUAUUGUUGCCUAUUUCAUAGAGAGAUUCUUGAAUAUGAAGUAGAACAGGAAAUAUGUAUUUUGGAAGGGAAUAUCACCACCUACCAGACUAUGACAGCAGUAAGCAGCAUAGCACUACAUUAAUAAUGCAUGUAUAUAUGCAUGUAUUGACUUACAAUGUGUUUGGAUUGUUAAAAUAAAUUUGUAAUUUUAAAUUGUGUUAUAUUCAGCUUGUGACUUAUGGUUGAAUGCAUAUGGUGACAAAAAAAAUAGAUAGAAUCAUCUUAUUUAGA
This is a non-coding RNA of Arachis ipaensis, 589 nucleotides long. The record is from RefSeq and is a predicted model, not a curated record. Lineage: Eukaryota; Viridiplantae; Streptophyta; Magnoliopsida; Fabales; Fabaceae.